Clupea harengus (Atlantic herring) is the source of this 943-nucleotide long non-coding RNA. RefSeq lists it as uncharacterized. The record is from RefSeq and is a predicted model, not a curated record. NCBI's taxonomy places the organism in Eukaryota, Metazoa, Chordata, Actinopteri, Clupeiformes, Clupeidae. The transcript is spliced from 4 exons.
UACCGUCAGCUCUCUAACCCACAUGUCAGCUCAGAUCAAGUCCCCAAAUGACUGGAUACCAUUUUCAAGUCGUUCUGUAUCUGAGUCAGCCACUCUAGAAGAAGCAAGACCCUCAGUUGAAGCAGAAGAUGAGACAAAAGUAGGGGGGGUGAAGGGGCAGUACCACCAGAGCACCCAGACUGUUUUGGAACUUUUAAGCUCAAAUUGCAGUUAAGAGUCAAAAUACUGAGAGGAUGGGGAGCAUGGAAACAGUCUGGGGGAGGUAAAGGAGAGACUGGAGGGUACUGACUGAGGUACACUUGAGAUGUGUGGGGUCCCAGAUAACCCUGAGCCAUUGAGAGUUGGUAUAUGACUCAUCACUUGACAUUUCUGAUAAAGGUGUAAAAUGUGACUGCGAGAUAGCUGUAACCGUCACACACACACACACACACACAGUCUCUCACUCAGGGGUCUGCUCUCGGAUUUGUUUCUCUCCUUCAGCUCCACACAGGAUGGGAGUCUACUGGACAGCUGUUCUCCUCUGCCAUCUUCUAGCCUCUUUAGUCCACUCACUGACAUGCAAUGAACGAAAACAGUACAAGUGGCCAGCCAGCUCUCCCACAAGGUGCUGCCAGAAAUGCGAACCAGGUGAGUUCAUGGAAAAAAGAUGCCAGGAUGGGUCCAUAGAAACUAAAUGCCAGGAGUGCAGCCCAGAUAUGUAUACAGAUGUUCCCAAUUUCCUCGCCCAAUGCAAGAUGUGCAAACCUUGCAGCAAAAACCAGGUGCAGAAGGCAGCUUGUUCGCGACUGCAGAACACUGUGUGUGACUGCAAGCAAGGAUAUAAAUGCACAGAUGCUGAAUGUUCAGAGUGUGAAAAGGAGGACCAUGACCAUGGCCAAGACCAAGUAACCACUACACAACAGCCCACAACUACAGAACGUAGAAAGACAACUGUCAACAAAGA